UACGGAGGGGGCUAGCGUUGUUCGGAAUUACUGGGCGUAAAGCGCACGUAGGCGGCUUUGUAAGUUAGAGGUGAAAGCCCAGGGCUUAACCCUGGAAUUGCCUUUAAGACUGCAUCGCUAGAAUUGUGGAGAGGUAAGUGGAAUUCCGAGUGUAGAGGUGAAGUUCGUAGAUAUUCGGAAGAACACCAGUGGCGAAGGCGACUUACUGGACACAUAUUGACGCUGAGGUGCGAAAGCGUGGGGAGCAAACAGG
RNAcentral lists this ribosomal RNA (253 nucleotides) under uncultured bacterium. RNAcentral's name for it is "partial 16S ribosomal RNA". It matches the Rfam family "Bacterial small subunit ribosomal RNA", at positions 524 to 776 of the family's 1533-position model. The record is from RNAcentral.